This 469-nucleotide ribosomal RNA is filed under the name uncultured bacterium. Its description in RNAcentral is "partial 16S ribosomal RNA". It matches the Rfam family "Bacterial small subunit ribosomal RNA", at positions 28 to 507 of the family's 1533-position model. The record is from RNAcentral.
GACGAACGCUGGCGGCGUGCUUAACACAUGCCAGUCGAACGGAAAGGCCCUGCUUGCAGGGUGCUCGAGUGGCGAACGGGUGAGUAACACGUGGGUGAUCUGCCCCUUACUUUGGGAUAAGCCUGGGAAACUGGGUCUAAUACUGGAUAGGACCAUGCUGUAGGUGGUGUGGUGGAAAGAUUAGUUUCGGUAAGGGAUGAGCUCGCGGCCUAUCAGCUUGUUGGUGGGGUAAUGGCCUACCAAGGCGUCGACGGGUAGCCGGCCGGAGAGGGUGGACGGCCACAUUGGGACUGAGAUACGGCCCAGACUCCUACGGGAGGCAGCAGUGGGGAAUAUUGCACAAUGGGCGCAAGCCUGAUGCAGCGACGCCGCGUGGGGGAUGACGGCCUUCGGGUUGUAAACUCCUUUCAGCCAUGACGAAGCCCUUGUGGUGACGGUAGUGGUAGAAGAAGCACCGGCUAACUACGUG